RNAcentral lists this ribosomal RNA (175 nucleotides) under Listeria monocytogenes. Its description in RNAcentral is "partial 16S ribosomal RNA". It matches the Rfam family "Bacterial small subunit ribosomal RNA", at positions 1 to 170 of the family's 1533-position model. The record is from RNAcentral. Lineage: Bacteria; Bacillati; Bacillota; Bacilli; Caryophanales; Listeriaceae.
UUUAAAGAGAGUUUGAUCCUGGCUCAGGACGAACGCUGGCGGCGUGCCUAAUACAUGCAAGUCGAACGAACGGAGGAAGAGCUUGCUCUUCCAAUGUUAGUGGCGGACGGGUGAGUAACACGUGGGCAACCUGCCUGUAAGUUGGGGAUAACUCCGGGAAACCGGGGCUAAUACC